Molecule: ribosomal RNA, 440 nt
Filed under: uncultured bacterium
Lineage: Bacteria
Description: partial 16S ribosomal RNA
Rfam family: Bacterial small subunit ribosomal RNA
Source: RNAcentral
CCUACGGGAGGCUGCAGUGAGGAAUAUUGGUCAAUGGGGGAAACCCUGAAGCAGCAACGCCGCGUGGAGGAUGAAGGUUUUCGGAUUGUAAACUCCUUUUUUUAGAGAAGAUAAUGACGGUAUCUAACGAAUAAGCCCCGGCUAACUCCGUGCCAGCAGCCGCGGUAAUACGGAGGGUGCAAGCGUUACUCGGAAUCACUGGGCGUAAAGAGCGCGUAGGCGGGAUAGCAAGUCAGAUGUGAAAUCCUAUGGCUUAACCAUAGAACUGCAUUUGAAACUGUUAUUCUAGAGUAUGGGAGAGGUAGGUGGAAUGCUUGGUGUAGGGGUAAAAUGCGUAGAGAUCAAGAGGAAUACUCAUUGCGAAGGCGACCUGCUAGAACAUAACUGACGCUGAUGCGCGAAAGCGCGGGGAGCAAACAGGAUUAGAUACCCCUGUAGUC